Long non-coding RNA from Spinacia oleracea (spinach), 472 nucleotides. RefSeq lists it as uncharacterized. The transcript has 3 exons. The record is from RefSeq and is a predicted model, not a curated record. NCBI's taxonomy places the organism in Eukaryota, Viridiplantae, Streptophyta, Magnoliopsida, Caryophyllales, Amaranthaceae.
CAAAGAUAUGAGCCACAAAUUUCACUAGCACUCGUCAACCCACUCUUUUUAAAAUCAGACAAGUUCACUGUCUGAUGAUACUACCUUUCUUGAAAAGUAUUUGGUUAUCAUAUUUUUCUCAAUAGGUUACACUCUGCUGAAGUUUGUUGGGACAAUUGAAAAUAAACUCAAGAAAUAAUCUAGUGAACAAACUAGAAAUGAUGAAGAUAUGGAUGCUUUGGAAUACAAGACCGUCCAACGUGAUACGGAGCAACAUGAGAAUGAAGGCGAAGACACUUGAGCUUAUAAGCUACUACCACCAUUAGAUCCUAGUUCUUCGGUUAAGUAGAUAAAAUUUGUAUUUUUUAUUAUGUUUUGGACUAUUUAGUUAUCAACAUUUAUGUAUUAUGGAAUUUGGUUAGAAACAUUAUCAUGUACUAUGGAUAUAUUAUGGUUAUAUUACCAUGUGCAAUGGAUUUAAAGUACUACGUAC